AUGUCUAUCAAGGAGGAGAAUCUUAUAUCAAAAUCUGAAAAAUUAGGAAAAGCAAAGUGGAAUAAUCCAUUUGAUACCAAAACACUACUUAACAUUUGUAAAGAUGAGAUUCGAAAAUGUAGAAAACCAGAAAUUGCUUUUAGGAAUAAAAAAUGGGAAGAGAUGCGUGAAGCUUUCAAUAAAGUAAAGAAACAGAUUUGGGAUGGAAUCCUCAAAAAGGAAAUAUUGAAGCUAACCCUGCAUGGUGGGAUGCUAAAAUAA
Vicia faba (fava bean) is the source of this 261-nucleotide non-coding RNA. NCBI's taxonomy places the organism in Eukaryota, Viridiplantae, Streptophyta, Magnoliopsida, Fabales, Fabaceae. The record is from the annotation of a GenBank genome assembly.